Long non-coding RNA from Brienomyrus brachyistius, 616 nucleotides. RefSeq lists it as uncharacterized. The transcript is spliced from 5 exons. The record is from RefSeq and is a predicted model, not a curated record. NCBI's taxonomy places the organism in Eukaryota, Metazoa, Chordata, Actinopteri, Osteoglossiformes, Mormyridae.
AGAGGUUGGGGUUAGAUACGCUGGGAUACGUACAUAGAGGUUGGGGUUAGAUACGCUGGGAUACGUACAUAGAGGUUGGGGUUAGAGACACUGGGCUACGUACAUAGAGGUUGGGGUUAGAUACACUGGGAUACGUACACAGAGGUUGGGCUUAGAGACACUGGGCUACGUACACAGAGGUUGGGGUUAGAGACACUGGGCUACGUACAUAGAGGUUGGGGUCAGAGACACUGGGCUACGUACAUAGAGGUUGGGGUCAGAGACACUGGGAUACGUACACAGAGGUUGGGGUUAGAUACACUGGGAUACGUACACAGAGGUUGGGGUUAGAUACACUGGGAUACGCACACAGAGGUUGGGGUUAGAUACACUGGGAUACGUACAUAGAGAUUGGGGUUAGAUACACUGGGCUACGUACAUAGAGAUUGGGGUUAGAUACGCUGGGAUACGUACAUAGAGAUUGGGGUUAGAUACGCUGGGAUACGUACAUAGAGGUUGGGGUUAGAUACGCUGGGAUACGUACAUAGAGGUUGGGGUUAGAUACACUGGGAUACGUACAUAGAGGUUGGGGUUAGAUACACUGGGAUACGUACAUAGAAGUUGGGGUUAGAUACAC